This 660-nucleotide ribosomal RNA is filed under the name Pilaira sp. KH15. RNAcentral's name for it is "eukaryotic LSU rRNA". It matches the Rfam family "Eukaryotic large subunit ribosomal RNA", at positions 50 to 615 of the family's 3401-position model. The record is from RNAcentral. Lineage: Eukaryota; Fungi; Mucoromycota; Mucoromycetes; Mucorales; Mucoraceae.
GCGGAGGAAAAGAAAAUAACAAUGAUUUCCCUAGUAACGGCGAGUGAAGAGGAAAGAGCUCAAAGUUGGAACCUGUUUGGCUUAGCUAAACCGGAUUGUAAACUGUAGAAGUGUUUUCCUGACACGCCUGGUAAAAAAGUCCUUUGGAACAGGGCAUCAUAGAGGGUGAGAAUCCCGUGUUUGGCCAGAGCUGUUGUCUUUUGUGAUACACUUUCAAAGAGUCAGGUUGUUUGGGAAUGCAGCCUAAAUUGGGUGGUAAAUCUCACCUAAAGCUAAAUAUUUGCGAGAGACCGAUAGCGAACAAGUACCGUGAGGGAAAGAUGAAAAGAACUUUGAAAAGAGAGUUAAACAGUAUGUGAAAUUGUUAAAAGGGAACCGUUUGGAGCCAGACUGGCUUAACUGUAAUCAAUCUAGGCUUCGGCCUGGAUGCACUUGCGGUUUAUGCCUGCCAACGACAAUUUUUUUUGAGGGAAAAAACUAUUGGGAAUGUGGCCCUCCUUCGGGGGGGUGUUAUAGCCCUUUAGAAAAUACCUUGAAUUGGAUUGAGGAACGCAGUGAAUGCCUUUAGGCAAGAUUGCUGGGUGCUUUCGUUAAUAAAUGCUAGAAUUUCUGCCUUGGGUGGUGCUAGUGUUUAAAGAUGGAACUCGCCUAGUAUAUUUU